Molecule: transfer RNA, 64 nt
Filed under: Allothyrus sp. LamingtonNP-QMS95173
Lineage: Eukaryota; Metazoa; Arthropoda; Arachnida; Holothyrida; Allothyridae
Description: tRNA-Phe
Source: RNAcentral
AUUUUUAUAGUUUAUAUAAAAUACAACAUUGAAAAUGUUGAGAUGAUUUAAUAAUUUAAAAAUA